GACGAACGCUGGCGGCGUGCUUAACACAUGCAAGUCGAGCGGAAAGGCCCUUCGGGGUACUCGAGCGGCGAACGGGUGAGUAACACGUGAGGAACCUGCCCCAGACUUUGGGAUAACCUUCGGAAACGGAGGCUAAUACCGGAUAUGACAUUCCAUCGCAUGGUGGUUUGUGGAAAGUUUUUCGGUUUGGGAUGGUCUCGCGGCCUAUCAGCUUGUUGGUGGGGUAAUGGCCUACCAAGGCGACGACGGGUAGCCGGCCUGAGAGGGCGACCGGCCACACUGGGACUGAGACACGGCCCAGACUCCUACGGGAGGCAGCAGUGGGGAAUAUUGCACAAUGGGGCGGAAGCCUGAAUGCAGCGACGCCGCGUGAGGGAUGACGCC
This 384-nucleotide ribosomal RNA is filed under the name uncultured bacterium. RNAcentral describes it as "bacterial SSU rRNA". It matches the Rfam family "Bacterial small subunit ribosomal RNA", at positions 28 to 415 of the family's 1533-position model. The record is from RNAcentral.